RNAcentral lists this transfer RNA (71 nucleotides) under Loxodonta africana (African savanna elephant). It matches the Rfam family "tRNA". From Rfam's summary of the family: Transfer RNA (tRNA) molecules are approximately 80 nucleotides in length. Their secondary structure includes four short double-helical elements and three loops (D, anti-codon, and T loops). Further hydrogen bonds mediate the characteristic L-shaped molecular structure. tRNAs have two regions of fundamental functional importance: the anti-codon, which is responsible for specific mRNA codon recognition, and the 3' end, to which the tRNAs corresponding amino acid is attached (by aminoacyl-tRNA synthetases). tRNAs cope with the degeneracy of the genetic code in two manners: having more than one tRNA (with a specific anti-codon) for a particular amino acid; and 'wobble' base-pairing, i.e. permitting non-standard base-pairing at the 3rd anti-codon position. The record is from Rfam by way of RNAcentral. Lineage: Eukaryota; Metazoa; Chordata; Mammalia; Proboscidea; Elephantidae.
ACGGUGGUUGUUGAGUGGUAGAAUUCUCACUUACCAUGUGGGAGACCAGGGUUGGAUUCCCAGCCAACGCA